UGCCAGCAGCCGCGGUAAUACGAACCGUCCAAACGUUAUUCGGAAUCAUUGGGCUUAAAGGGUGCGUAGGCGGUGUGGUCAGUUGGGUGUGAAAUCCCUCGGCUCAACCGAGGAACUGCGCCCAAUACUGCCACACUCGAGGGAGACAGAGGUAAGCGGAACUGAUGGUGGAGCGGUGAAAUGCGUUGAUAUCAUCAGGAACACCAGUGGCGAAGGCGGCUUACUGGGUCUCUUCUGACGCUGAGGCACGAAAGCUAGGGGAGCGAACGGGAUUAGAUA
RNAcentral lists this ribosomal RNA (279 nucleotides) under uncultured bacterium. RNAcentral's name for it is "partial 16S ribosomal RNA". It matches the Rfam family "Bacterial small subunit ribosomal RNA", at positions 506 to 784 of the family's 1533-position model. The record is from RNAcentral.